AAAGACAAGAGAAGAGUGCUGAGUAACUAAGAGUUGAAGCAUGGAAUUAUAUAUGGACUAAUAUAUAAUCUCAAAGGUAAUAGAGAAAUAGAAAUACAGUAAAAAGUACUGGACUGCAUUACAUCGGUUUAUCUAAUGCAUGUGAGUUUCAUAUUAAAUAAAUCAAUCAAUUCAAAAAGAACAAUGUGACAAAAGAAAAAAAGUUAAAUAGAAGAAAGGUAAUGUCAGUGAGAUGAGACUGCAGAAGGGGAGCAAUUAAAAAAAGGCAACAGAAAAAAUGAAAUGAAAAAGUGGAGAAAGACAAAUUAUAAUGAAAAGGAAUACAGUCAGAGGAAGGAGAAAAAGGAAAAUUGCAGAAGGAAGAAGGUAAAUGAAAGAAAGAGGGAUCUGGAGGGAAAAGGAAGAUGAUGUUGGUAUUUGCUUGUUAUUCCACCACUAAUUUUCCCCCUGGAGCUCAUUAGAGUCUGGAGAGAAACGAACCACAAAACCUUAAAAACCAACGGAGUGGAGAAAGAGGGAGAGAGAGAGAGUCACGCAUCCACAGUAACGGAAGGCAAUGAGUUAUGUUGAGAGGAGGAAAAUUAAACAGCUAGGGAUAAAUAGAAAAACAAAAGUGAAAACUAAAUGAAAUGUAUGGCGAGCAGUAAAAAUAUCAACCAUUAGAAAAGCAAGACAGAAAGUGAGGUAAAAAAAAAAAUAAAACAAAGCAGA
Long non-coding RNA from Betta splendens (Siamese fighting fish), 711 nucleotides. RefSeq lists it as uncharacterized. NCBI's taxonomy places the organism in Eukaryota, Metazoa, Chordata, Actinopteri, Anabantiformes, Osphronemidae. The record is from RefSeq and is a predicted model, not a curated record. The transcript has 2 exons.